UAAAGAAAGCGACUUCAAAGCACUUGUAAUGCCACUUAUGCUUUGCAGAAUGCCUAACCUCACCUGCUUCCUGGACGCCCCAGGAACAAAGUGCUAGAAACGAUAGUUGCACAAGAUGCUCCACACACGCUCACACACAUUAGCCGCGUCAACAAUGUCACCUACCCGACAAGCGGCCUGUGCAGGCAGGAUGCUGACCGUGAUGAAGACGCCAAUCAUCUGCUGCAAACCCGUGCGCUCAUAUUAAAUUAUUGCACCGCAAAUGCACGCGGCUUAAUGCGGUGCGAACAAAUAGCUGCCGCUGGCUGCUCCGCCGAAGGGUCUAUUCGCAUUCAACAUCGUUCCCUCGGCCCUAUAGGUAUGGAGCCAAUCGGGGGUAAAAAGGGGAGGCGGAGAACGCGGGCACGUUGUCCGGGCCUUGCAUACGUGCAACAGCCAACAGCCUGCCUGCCUGUCUGUCUGCCGGCUGUCUAGACGGAUAGUGUGUGCCUUUUUUUUUCGUCGUCGUUGUUGCUCCUCUAUCGGCGUUUUCUGCUUAUUGCAAUACUAGUGGAGGCCUUGUUGUUGUGCUUAGUUGCUGGCUGGCUGGCUGGCUGGCUGCUUAUUCCGGCCCAAUCUGGGCUACCGGCAUAAGUUGUCGUAAUGCUUCAAUAGCACUCGCUCUCGAAAAAAUAAAACUGGCUUUGUUUGUUAACUUGUUUGUGCUUUUGUAUGGCGAAAAUAUUACUUGAAAUAGUGUUUGAAAUCAUAAAAGCUUUCGCAAUCCCCAUAGAACUGCACUGCACCAAACAGAAUGCAGCCAGCACAUGGUCGCAUCGGCCGCACAUUCCAGCCACACAUGCAGUAGACCCAGAUUUUUCCACUUUUUACGGCUGCUGGAAUUUUGCUAUCCCAUCCCCAUCGGGUGGAGGGAUCGCACCGUAACCUUGAAAAUACGUCGCCGUCAUCGCCAUCAUUUCCAUUCCAGACGGCGGCAUAUUUUCAUAUUUUUCCUUCCCUACCCAUACCCGUGAAAUAUUUUCAUCCGCACCAACAUCUGUCGUGAAUAGGGGGAAACGAGUAGCAAGGCCAACCGUCCAAAAGAGUGUCUGAUGGUUCGUCUGAAGCACACCAUGGUUAGUACUUGCCGGACAAAAAAAAUAUCGACUCAUUUUAGACAUCUUACAAGAGCUAGCGUAUAAGCCGCCCUGCUGCUGGAUAGCGAAUGCACUUUGCAUAGUAAACAAGACGGGAAG
Long non-coding RNA from Anopheles stephensi (Asian malaria mosquito), 1235 nucleotides. RefSeq lists it as uncharacterized. The record is from RefSeq and is a predicted model, not a curated record. NCBI's taxonomy places the organism in Eukaryota, Metazoa, Arthropoda, Insecta, Diptera, Culicidae. The transcript is spliced from 2 exons.